This is a long non-coding RNA of Anguilla rostrata (American eel), 733 nucleotides long. RefSeq lists it as uncharacterized. The transcript is spliced from 2 exons. The record is from RefSeq and is a predicted model, not a curated record. NCBI's taxonomy places the organism in Eukaryota, Metazoa, Chordata, Actinopteri, Anguilliformes, Anguillidae.
UCUACCGUACCUGAGCAAGAUGGCUGGGGGGGGGACUACCCCAGCUGGUUCUGAGCGAGGGGCAGGAAUACACUCAAAGUGUAUUCCUGCCUCUAACUCACAACCGUGGCCGAUUUAGUAUCUCCGAUUAACCUGUAUGCAUGUUUUUCGGAUUGGGGAAACCUAGGUGGACACGGGGAGAACAUGCAAACUCCGCACAGAGCCGAGAUUCGAUAUCACGACCUUCGUACUGUGAGGCGACAGCGCUACCCACUGAGCCACCGUGCCACCGAUUACAAUGCUUGCUUGGUAAACUAUCAAGGAUCAUCAAGGAUGACGUGCCCUUAGCCUCAUAGCUCCAGGCUAGCUCCCGUAAUUAGUACUGCUCGGUUCUUCCCGGUUUAGCAAUGGCGACCUUCUACACCCACUGUCAAUAGGAGCUCCCAAAGAUAAACAUCACUCGCGUUCAUAGGAUUUUCACAACGACUAAAGACUCAACCAGCAAAUUGGAGAAAGGCUAUUAAUUAUAUGCCAUGUGUAUAUUCGCAACUACGAAGACGUGCUUGAAACCUCUAAGAAGGAGAUCGAAGACAUCCUGAUCCGGUACCGCGGGACCUUGUUGGUGGCCGACUCCCGCCGCUCCCGGUCCGACGAGUUUGCUGGAGCCGGAGCCCGCCCUCGCUACCAGAAGUCUUACUGCUAAAAAUGCUGUCUUCGCUUUUAUAUACAAUAAAAAUGAAAAUGACCUAAAUCA